UACUACAGCUCCAUCUAUACCACAACGGUCCUUUUCAGGACCACACAUCUUUGCAUUUUACAUCCUGGUUUCCUGUGUUUACCGACAACAGAGACCAGUUACUCAUAUUUAUUUUAAAUCACAUUUAAAUACAUUAUUAUUUUGAGCAGUAUAGUUUAGUAAAGUAGUUAGUGUGUAUUAGUGUUAGUUUACAUUGUAUUAAGGCACUUUCUAGUGCAUUAGGUUAGGUUAGGUUAUCUUAGGUUAGGUUAGGUUAGGUUAGAUUAGAUUAAAACCUUUUUAAUUGCCACACAUAGUACAGUCUCAAAUACUUACACAGUUAAGUUGUCCUGUUUAACUACUGUCUCCAGCUUUCCCCAGUGUUUUUCAGGUAACUGGCCCUACCAACUUAUAGGAGACCUUUUCAGCAUCAUCUGACUGUUUGAGUCCACAACAGAAGAAUUCAGGAGACAGAUUGCAAACUUGCAAUUUCCUGCCUUGGUUCCCUCUACUCAUUCUACAACUACAGACAAACUACACACCAGGUAAGUAACAAGUGUUAAGUAAUUGGAAGGAUUUCUGCUUGUUUAUAAGAUGCCGAGAAGAAACAAGAGAGCCCAGGCUGCGCGUGUCCGCUGGACCAAGUUGGACCUUGCUGACACCCAGGCGAGCUCACUUCGGACCAGUGAAGAGGCUGCAGGAGACCAGUCAAGGAAGAUGGACUUGGCAGAUCUUCAGACGAGCCAGCCUAUUACCACUCAACAGAUGCGUGGUCUGGAACAUCAAGAGCCUAGCAAGACCAAACCUGAGACUGAAAAUUCUGCCAGAGAACAUGCGCAAGUCACUGCUGAUGCACCCAGGGUCUGCCAAGCCCCUCUGUGACAGCCUGGAUCAGCCACACCCGCACUUCAUCCAUACAGCUCAGCUUGUCCAUGUACGAAGACGCCUUGCAGGCACAAAAAUGAAGAAGAUGACACGCUCAAAACCAAGAAGACCAAUGGGCAGCUGUCAUGAGGACUCCAGCCACCGGAGCGCUGAGCAUCUAAAUAGGACAUGAAGACACAGGGCACGACAGCCGAGGAGACUGAAGAUGGCCAGGGAGAACAACGCCGGCUCUACUGAGGAAACAAAACAGCAACAAAUGAAGAUGUUCAGAGUCUAGAUGCCGCAGAAGACUCAAGAAGAAGACAACCAAGGAGAGCAACAAGAGCUCCAGUGAGGACUUUGUAAUUUUGUGGCACAGAGUUCAGUUGGUCCUGUGCAUGGUCAUAGUAAGUUGCCGUUGUUCAGUCCCCAGUUAGGCUUAAGAGCGGGUUCCCUUUGGAACUCGUUUGGGGGGGGGUUGUUAGUGUGGUGCGAACGUGGUUAGAGCAGUUGUCUCGGGAGCACAUCCGAAGCUGCAGGUGGGUCGCCAUUUUAUGGUUGCUUUACCGGGCUAUCGGGCUACAGUGCAUAAGUACCCGCCACAAGUAGCGCCUGAAGACUAGGGAGGAGCUUAGUUAGAUUCUGGUUUGGCAGCUAGGAGGACAGGGCUUCAGUGAUAUUUUGGCUGUGCAUUUGGGCUGAUUGAGCAUGUUUUGGUGUCACUGAGAGAACUUAGAUUUGUGUCUUGUUAAUCUUUGUGUUGCUCUUCUACUGUAAAUAAAUUUUAUUCCUCACUAAACAUUUGGUGUUUCAGCAGCCAUUAUUUCUUUUAUUUACUUUUUCUUGGAUCCAUUUUGUAGAGGUAAAUGUUUUUUUGGUAAACUUGUGUUACAUCUUGUGUUGUAUCAUAAUCUAAGUAUCAAGACUACUACUAAGUUAAUGGCAUUCACGUACUGAUA
This is a long non-coding RNA of Myripristis murdjan (pinecone soldierfish), 1802 nucleotides long. RefSeq lists it as uncharacterized. NCBI's taxonomy places the organism in Eukaryota, Metazoa, Chordata, Actinopteri, Holocentriformes, Holocentridae. The record is from RefSeq and is a predicted model, not a curated record. The transcript is spliced from 12 exons.